This 1449-nucleotide ribosomal RNA is filed under the name Staphylococcus aureus. Its description in RNAcentral is "partial 23S ribosomal RNA". It matches the Rfam family "Bacterial large subunit ribosomal RNA", at positions 1476 to 2925 of the family's 2925-position model. Lineage: Bacteria; Bacillati; Bacillota; Bacilli; Caryophanales; Staphylococcaceae. The record is from RNAcentral.
AGUAGGAUAGGCGAAGCGUGCGAUUGGAUUGCACGUCUAAGCAGUAAGGCUGAGUAUUAGGCAAAUCCGGUACUCGUUAAGGCUGAGCUGUGAUGGGGAGAAGACAUUGUGUCUUCGAGUCGUUGAUUUCACACUGCCGAGAAAAGCCUCUAGAUAGAAAAUAGGUGCCCGUACCGCAAACCGACACAGGUAGUCAAGAUGAGAAUUCUAAGGUGAGCGAGCGAACUCUCGUUAAGGAACUCGGCAAAAUGACCCCGUAACUUCGGGAGAAGGGGUGCUCUUUAGGGUUAACGCCCAGAAGAGCCGCAGUGAAUAGGCCCAAGCGACUGUUUAUCAAAAACACAGGUCUCUGCUAAACCGUAAGGUGAUGUAUAGGGGCUGACGCCUGCCCGGUGCUGGAAGGUUAAGAGGAGUGGUUAGCUUCUGCGAAGCUACGAAUCGAAGCCCCAGUAAACGGCGGCCGUAACUAUAACGGUCCUAAGGUAGCGAAAUUCCUUGUCGGGUAAGUUCCGACCCGCACGAAAGGCGUAACGAUUUGGGCACUGUCUCAACGAGAGACUCGGUGAAAUCAUAGUACCUGUGAAGAUGCAGGUUACCCGCGACAGGACGGAAAGACCCCGUGGAGCUUUACUGUAGCCUGAUAUUGAAAUUCGGCACAGCUUGUACAGGAUAGGUAGGAGCCUUUGAAACGUGAGCGCUAGCUUACGUGGAGGCGCUGGUGGGAUACUACCCUAGCUGUGUUGGCUUUCUAACCCGCACCACUUAUCGUGGUGGGAGACAGUGUCAGGCGGGCAGUUUGACUGGGGCGGUCGCCUCCUAAAAGGUAACGGAGGCGCUCAAAGGUUCCCUCAGAAUGGUUGGAAAUCAUUCAUAGAGUGUAAAGGCAUAAGGGAGCUUGACUGCGAGACCUACAAGUCGAGCAGGGUCGAAAGACGGACUUAGUGAUCCGGUGGUUCCGCAUGGAAGGGCCAUCGCUCAACGGAUAAAAGCUACCCCGGGGAUAACAGGCUUAUCUCCCCCAAGAGUUCACAUCGACGGGGAGGUUUGGCACCUCGAUGUCGGCUCAUCGCAUCCUGGGGCUGUAGUCGGUCCCAAGGGUUGGGCUGUUCGCCCAUUAAAGCGGUACGCGAGCUGGGUUCAGAACGUCGUGAGACAGUUCGGUCCCUAUCCGUCGUGGGCGUAGGAAAUUUGAGAGGAGCUGUCCUUAGUACGAGAGGACCGGGAUGGACAUACCUCUGGUGUACCAGUUGUCGUGCCAACGGCAUAGCUGGGUAGCUAUGUGUGGACGGGAUAAGUGCUGAAAGCAUCUAAGCAUGAAGCCCCCCUCAAGAUGAGAUUUCCCAACUUCGGUUAUAAGAUCCCUCAAAGAUGAUGAGGUUAAUAGGUUCGAGGUGGAAGCAUGGUGACAUGUGGAGCUGACGAAUACUAAUCGAUCGAAGACUUAAUCAA